CCUUUCUCCUUUCCACGAUUCUUUUCUUGGUUUAUGUUGCAUUCUCGCGUGAAAACGCUAAAUUUGUCUUCAAGAAUCCUAGUCAGCCGAAAUGAUUGUUCCCCGAUGUUUGAUUCUUGCGGGAAUCUGAUACCAGGAAAAUGUUUUUAGUUUAUUCGAUCUCUGGAGUUGAAAAGUUUUCUUCUAGCAGUUGUCAGGACCUUUUUCUAGCAGUAAGUCAUGUUGCUAACGCUGAUCAAUUUUUGUUGUCAAUAAAUAAUGCUAAUUAAUACUACUACUUUGUUUUCCUUUGUGAUGCCAUGCAACAUUGCGCAGGUUAGUUCAUGUGGCCAAGACUCCAAAUAAUGAGAAAGAUGUUCUUCUUCGGUUCGGGGUGUAUCCAUUUCUUUCAAACAAUAAUAUUUCGAGCAUAUAUAUGAAUGUGAAGUUCCCAGUUUUGUGGACUCAAAAUGCAAAUUAAGGUCACAUUGCGAAAGCACAAUAAAUUCAUGCAAGAAGCUCUUUUUCAGUUUUGGGUACGAUCAAUAUAAUGAAGACGUACGGUACCUCUCCUCUGCGAUCGAGUAGCAAAAUGGAAAAACAAAAGGAGAAUAAUUAAGCAUAUGAAUAAUCCAAGGAGGCGACACAUAAUUAAGUAGUAUAAACCACAUAAUUAAACAUGACUCAAUA
RNAcentral lists this long non-coding RNA (669 nucleotides) under Coffea arabica (coffee). RNAcentral describes it as "long non-coding RNA (CARA_LNC006981)". The record is from RNAcentral. Lineage: Eukaryota; Viridiplantae; Streptophyta; Magnoliopsida; Gentianales; Rubiaceae.